UAGUACGGCGAGUGACCGGGAAGAGCUCAAAUUUGAAAUCUGGCGUGCUCAGUGCGUCCGAGUUGUAAUCUAUAGAGGCGUUUUCCGUGCCGGACUGUGUCCAAGUCCCUUGGAACAGGGUAUCAAAGAGGGUGAUAAUCCCGUACUUGACACAAUGACCGGUGCUCUGUGAUACGUCUUCUACGAGUCGAGUUGUUUGGGAAUGCAGCUCAAAAUGGGUGGUGAGUUCCAUCUAAAGCUAAAUAUUGGCGAGAGACCGAUAGCGAACAAGUACCGUGAGGGAAAGAUGAAAAGCACUUUGGAAAGAGAGUUAAACAGUACGUGAAAUUGUUGAAAGGGAAACGAUUGGAGUCAGUCGUGACUGAGAGGCUCAGCCGGUUCUGCCGGUGUAUUCCCCUCAGUCGGGUCAACAUCAGUUUUGUUCGGUGGAUAAGGGCAGUUGGAAGGUGGCACCCUCGGGUGUGUUAUAGCCAGCUGUCGCAUACAUCGGAUGAGACUGAGGAAUGCAGCUCGCCUUUAUGGCCGGGGUUCGCCCACGUUCGAGCUUAGGAUGUUGACAUAAUGGCUUUAAACGACCCGUCUUGGA
This 586-nucleotide ribosomal RNA is filed under the name uncultured Cryptococcus. RNAcentral describes it as "eukaryotic LSU rRNA". It matches the Rfam family "Eukaryotic large subunit ribosomal RNA", at positions 81 to 658 of the family's 3401-position model. The record is from RNAcentral. Lineage: Eukaryota; Fungi; Basidiomycota; Tremellomycetes.